CGCGGCCUAUCAGCUUGUUGGUGGGGUAAUGGCCUACCAAGGCGACGACGGGUAGCCGGCCUGAGAGGGCGACCGGCCACACUGGGACUGAGACACGGCCCAGACUCCUACGGGAGGCAGCAGUGGGGAAUAUUGCACAAUGGGCGGAAGCCCGAUGCAGCGACGCCGCGUGAGGGAUGACGGCCUUCGGGUUGUAAACCUCUUUCAGCAGGGACGAAGCGCAAGUGACGGUACCUGCAGAAGAAGCGCCGGCCAACUACGUGCCAGCAGCCGCGGUAAGACGUAGGGCGCGAGCGUUGUCCGGAUUUAUUGGGCGUAAAGAGCUCGUAGGCGGCUUGUCGCGUCGACUGUGAAAACCCGUGGCUCAACUGCGGGCCUGCAGUCGAUACGGGCAGGCUAGAGUUCGGUAGGGGAGACUGGAAUUCCUGGUGUAGCGGUGAAAUGCGCAGAUAUCAGGAGGAACACCGGUGGCGAAGGCGGGUCUCUGGGCCGAUACUGACGCUGAGGAGCGAAAGCGUGGGGAGCGAACAGGAUUAGAUACCCUGGUAGUCCACGCUGUAAACGUUGGGCGCUAGGUGUGGGGGGCCUCUCCGGUUCUCUGUGCCGCAGCUAACGCAUUAAACGCCCCGCC
This 631-nucleotide ribosomal RNA is filed under the name uncultured Actinomycetes bacterium. RNAcentral's name for it is "bacterial SSU rRNA". It matches the Rfam family "Bacterial small subunit ribosomal RNA", at positions 232 to 873 of the family's 1533-position model. Lineage: Bacteria; Bacillati; Actinomycetota; Actinomycetes. The record is from RNAcentral.